GCAGCCGCGGUAAUACGUAUGGAGCAAGCGUUAUCCGGAUUUACUGGGUGUAAAGGGAGCGUAGACGGAUUUGCAAGUCUGAUGUGAAAGCCUGGGGCUCAACCCCGGAACUGCAUUGGAAACUGCAGAUCUUGAGUGCCGGAGAGGUAAGCGGAAUUCCUAGUGUAGCGGUGAAAUGCGUAGAUAUUAGGAGGAACACCAGUGGCGAAGGCGGCUUACUGGACGGUAACUGACGUUGAGGCUCGAAAGCGUGGGGAGCAAACAGGAUUAGAUACCCC
RNAcentral lists this ribosomal RNA (278 nucleotides) under uncultured Marvinbryantia sp. RNAcentral's name for it is "partial 16S ribosomal RNA". It matches the Rfam family "Bacterial small subunit ribosomal RNA", at positions 511 to 788 of the family's 1533-position model. Lineage: Bacteria; Bacillati; Bacillota; Clostridia; Lachnospirales; Lachnospiraceae. The record is from RNAcentral.